Molecule: ribosomal RNA, 253 nt
Filed under: uncultured bacterium
Lineage: Bacteria
Description: partial 16S ribosomal RNA
Rfam family: Bacterial small subunit ribosomal RNA
Source: RNAcentral
UACGUAGGGGGCAAGCGUUGUCCGGAAUUAUUGGGCGUAAAGAGCGUGUAGGCGGUCCGGUAAGUCGGCUGUGAAAGUCCAGGGCUCAACCCUGGGAUGCCGGUCGAUACUGCGGGGCUAGAGUGCGGAAGGGGCAACUGGAAUUCUCGGUGUAGCGGUGAAAUGCGUAGAUAUCGAGAGGAACACCUGCGGCGAAGGCGGGUUGCUGGGCCGACACUGACGCUGAGGCGCGAAAGCCAGGGGAGCGAACGGG